ACGGAGGGUGCGAGCGUUAAUCGGAAUUACUGGGCGUAAAGCGCGCGUAGGCGGCUUGGUCAGUUGGGUGUGAAAUCCCCGGGCUUAACCUGGGAACUGCAUCCAAUACUGCCAGGCUAGAGUACGAGAGAGGGGGGUAGAAUUUCUAGUGUAGCGGUGAAAUGCGUAGAUAUUAGAAGGAAUACCAGUGGCGAAGGCGGCCCCCUGGCUUGAUACUGACGCUGAGGUGCGAAAGCGUGGGGAGCGAACAGG
This 252-nucleotide ribosomal RNA is filed under the name uncultured bacterium. RNAcentral's name for it is "partial 16S ribosomal RNA". It matches the Rfam family "Bacterial small subunit ribosomal RNA", at positions 525 to 776 of the family's 1533-position model. The record is from RNAcentral.